Molecule: ribosomal RNA, 336 nt
Filed under: uncultured bacterium
Lineage: Bacteria
Description: bacterial SSU rRNA
Rfam family: Bacterial small subunit ribosomal RNA
Source: RNAcentral
AACGGCUGCUAAUACCGCAUAACAUUAUUUGGUAGGCAUCUUCGAAUAAAUCAAAGAUUUAUCGCCGAAAGAUGGGCUCGCGUCUGAUUAGAUAGUUGUGGGGCAACGGCCCACCAAGUCAACGAUCAGUAGCCGGACUGAGAGGUUGAACGGCCACAUUGGGACUGAGAUACGGCCCAGACUCCUACGGGAGGCAGCAGUGGGGAAUAUUGGGCAAUGGGGCAACCCUGACCCAGCAACGCCGCGUGAAGGAAGAAGGCUUUCGGGUUGUAAACUUCUUUGACGAGGGACGAAGAAUGACGGUACCUCGAAACAAGCCACGGCUAACUACGUGCC